GGUUAAGUUAGAAAGGGCGCACGGUGAAUGCCUUGGCACUAGGAGCCGAUGAAGGACGGGACUAACACCGAUAUGCUUCGGGGAGCUGUAAGUGAGCUUUGAUCCGGAGAUUUCCGAAUGGGGAAACCCACUGUUCGUAAUGGAACAGUAUCUUUAUCUGAAUACAUAGGAUAUUGAAGGCAGACCCGGGGAACUGAAACAUCUAAGUACCCGGAGGAAGAGAAAGCAAAUGCGAUUUCCUGAGUAGCGGCGAGCGAAACGGAAUUAGCCCAAACCAAGAGGCUUGCCUCUUGGGGUUGUAGGACACUCUAUACGGAGUUACAAAGGAACGAAGUAAAUGAAGCGACCUGGAAAGGUCCGUCGAAGAAGGUAACAACCCUGUAGUUGAAACUUCGUUCCCUCUUGAGUGGAUCCUGAGUACGGCGGAACACGUGAAAUUCCGUCGGAAGCUGGGAGGACCAUCUCCCAAGGCUAAAUACUACCUAGUGACCGAUAGUGAACCAGUACCGUGAGGGAAAGGUGAAAAGCACCCCGGAAGGGGAGUGAAAGAGAUCCUGAAACCGUGUGCCUACAAGUAGUCAGAGCCCGUUAACGGGUGAUGGCGUGCCUUUUGUAGAAUGAACCGGCGAGUUACGAUCCCAUGCAAGGUUAAGCUGAUAAGGCGGAGCCGUAGCGAAAGCGAGUCUGAAUAGGGCGUUUAGUAUGUGGUUGUAGACCCGAAACCAGGUGAUCUACCCAUGUCCAGGGUGAAGUUCAGGUAACACUGAAUGGAGGCCCGAACCCACGCACGUUGAAAAGUGCGGGGAUGAGGUGUGGGUAGCGGAGAAAUUCCAAUCGAACCUGGAGAUAGCUGGUUCUCUCCGAAAUAGCUUUAGGGCUAGCCUCAUGUUGUGAGAGUCUUGGAGGUAGAGCACUGAUUGGACUAGGGGGCCCCCAACGGGUUACCGAAUUCAGUCAAACUCCGAAUGCCAAAGACUUAUCCAUGGGAGUCAGACUGCGAGUGAUAAGAUCCGUAGUCAAAAGGGAAACAGCCCAGACCACCAGCUAAGGUCCCCAAGUAUACGUUAAGUGGAAAAGGAUGUGGAGUUGCUUAGACAACCAGGAUGUUGGCUUAGAAGCAGCCACCAUUUAAAGAGUGCGUAAUAGCUCACUGGUCGAGUGACUCUGCGCCGAAAAUGUACCGGGGCUAAACGUAUCACCGAAGCUGUGGAUUGACAUCUUAGAUGUCAGUGGUAGGAGAGCGUUCUAAGUGCAGCGAAGUCAGACCGUAAGGACUGGUGGAGCGCUUAGAAGUGAGAAUGCCGGUAUGAGUAGCGAAAGACAAGUGAGAAUCUUGUCCACCGAAUGCCUAAGGUUUCCUGAGGAAGGCUCGUCCGCUCAGGGUUAGUCGGGACCUAAGCCGAGGCUGAAAAGCGUAGGCGAUGGCCAACAGGUUGAUAUUCCUGUACCACCUCCCCGCCGUUUGAGUAAUGGGGGGACGCAGUAGGAUAGGGUAAGCGCGCUGCUGGAUAUGCGCGUUCAAGCAGUUAGGCUGAUGAGUAGGCAAAUCCGCUCAUCAUAAAGGCUGAGCUGUGAUGACGAGGGAAUUAUAGUACCGAAGUUCCUGAUUCCACACUGCCAAGAAAAGCCUCUAGCGAGGCGGGAGGUGCCCGUACCGCAAACCGACACAGGUAGGCGAGGAGAGAAUCCUAAGGUGAUCGAGAGAACUCUCGUUAAGGAACUCGGCAAAAUGACCCCGUAACUUCGGGAGAAGGGGUGCUCUGGUAGGGUGUAUAGCCCGAGAGAGCCGCAGUGAAUAGGCCCAGGCGACUGUUUAGCAAAAAAACACAGGUCUCUGCGAAGCCGCAAGGCGAAGUAUAGGGGCUGACGCCUGCCCGGUGCUGGAAGGUUAAGAGGAGGGGUUAUCCUUUGGGAGAAGCUCUGAAUCGAAGCCCCAGUAAACGGCGGCCGUAACUAUAACGGUCCUAAGGUAGCGAAAUUCCUUGUCGGGUAAGUUCCGACCCGCACGAAAGGCGUAACGAUCUGGGCACUGUCUCAACGAGAGACUCGGUGAAAUUAUAGUACCUGUGAAGAUGCAGGUUACCCGCGACAGGACGGAAAGACCCCGUGGAGCUUUUACUGUAGCCUGAUAUUGAAUUUUGGUACAGCUUGUACAGGAUAGGUAGGAGCCUGAGAAGCCGGAGCGCUAGCUUCGGUGGAGGCGUCGGUGGGAUACUACCCCUGGCUGUAUUGAAAUUCUAACCCGCGGCCCCUGAUCGGGCCGGGAGACAGUGUCAGGUGGGCAGUUUGACUGGGGCGGUCGCCUCCUAAAAAUGUAACGGAGGCGCCCAAAGGUUCCCCUCAGAAUGGUUGGAAAUCAUUCGUAGAGUGUAAAGGCACAAGGGAGCUUGACUGCGAGACCUACAAGUCGAGCAGGGACGAAAAGUCGGGCUUAGUGAUCCGGUGGUUCCGCAUGGAAGGGCCAUCGCUCAACGGAUAAAAGCUACCCCGGGGAUAACAGGCUUAUCUCCCCCAAGAGUCCACAUCGACGGGGAGGUUUGGCACCUCGAUGUCGGCUCAUCGCAUCCUGGGGCUGUAGUCGGUCCCAAGGGUUGGGCUGUUCGCCCAUUAAAGCGGUACGCGAGCUGGGUUCAGAACGUCGUGAGACAGUUCGGUCCCCUAUCCGUCGUGGGCGUAGGAAAUUUGAGAGGAGCUGUCCUUAGUACGAGAGGACCGGGAUGGACACACCGCUGGUGUACCAGUUGUCUUGCCAAAGGCAUCGCUGGGUAGCUAUGUGUGGACGGGAUAAGUGCUGAAAGCAUCUAAGCAUGAAGCCCCCCUCAAGAUGAGAUUUCCCAUAGCGCAAGCUAGUAAGAUCCCUGAAAGAUGAUCAGGUUGAUAGGUCAGAGGUGGAAGCGUGGCGACAUGUGUAGCUGACUGAUACUAAUCGAUCGAGGACUUAACCAA
RNAcentral lists this ribosomal RNA (2946 nucleotides) under Priestia megaterium. RNAcentral's name for it is "23S ribosomal RNA". It matches the Rfam family "Bacterial large subunit ribosomal RNA". The record is from RNAcentral. Lineage: Bacteria; Bacillati; Bacillota; Bacilli; Caryophanales; Bacillaceae.